This 487-nucleotide ribosomal RNA is filed under the name uncultured bacterium. Its description in RNAcentral is "SSU rRNA". It matches the Rfam family "Bacterial small subunit ribosomal RNA", at positions 26 to 523 of the family's 1533-position model. The record is from RNAcentral.
AGGACGAACGCUGGCGGCGCGCUUAACACAUGCAAGUCGAGCGAGAACCCAGGCUUCGGUCUGGGGGAAAGCGGCGAACGGGUGAGUAACACGUGGGUAAUCUGCCCUCGACAUCGGGAUAGCCCGGGGAAACCCGGAUUAAUACCGAAUGGCCCAUCAGCUUUUCGAAGCGGAUGGAAAAGGUAGCUUCGGCCUCCGGUCGAGGAGGAGCCCGCGGCGGAUUAGCUUGUUGGUGAGGUAACGGCUCACCAAGGCUUCGAUCCGUAGCUGGUCUGAGAGGACGAUCAGCCACACUGGGACUGAGACACGGCCCAAACUCCUACGGGAGGCAGCAGUGGGGGAAUAUUGGACAAUGGGCGCAAGCCUGAUCCAGCCAUGCCGCGUGAGUGAUGAAGGCCCUAGGGUUGUAAAGCUCUUUUGUGCGGGAAGAUAAUGACGGUACCGCAAGAAUAAGCCCCGGCUAACUUCGCGCCAGCAGCCGCGGUAA